CCUACGGGGGGCAGCAGUGAGGAAUAUUGGUCAAUGGACGAGACUCUGAACCAGCCAAGUAGCGUGAAGGAUGACUGCCCUAUGGGUUGUAAACUUCUUUUAUAUGGGAAUAAAACAGGGUAUGCAUCGCCUCUUGUAUGUACCAUAUGAAUAAGGAUCGGCUAACUCCGUGCCAGCAGCCGCGGUAAUACGGAGGAUCCGAGCGUUAUCCGGAUUUAUUGGGUUUAAAGGGAGCGUAGGUGGAUUGUUAAGUCAGUUGUGAAAGUUUGCGGCUCAACCGUAAAAUUGCAGUUGAAACUGGCAGGCUUGAGUACAGUAGAGGUGGGCGGAAUUCGUGGUGUAGCGGUGAAAUGCUUAGAUAUCACGAAGAACUCCGAUUGCGAAGGCAGCUCACUGGACUGUAACUGACACUGAUGCUCGAAAGUGUGGGUAUCAAACAGGAUUAGAUACCCUGGUAGUC
RNAcentral lists this ribosomal RNA (460 nucleotides) under uncultured bacterium. RNAcentral's name for it is "partial 16S ribosomal RNA". It matches the Rfam family "Bacterial small subunit ribosomal RNA", at positions 338 to 795 of the family's 1533-position model. The record is from RNAcentral.